Molecule: long non-coding RNA, 6734 nt
Filed under: Medicago truncatula (barrel medic)
Lineage: Eukaryota; Viridiplantae; Streptophyta; Magnoliopsida; Fabales; Fabaceae
Description: long non-coding RNA (MTRU_LNC003459)
Source: RNAcentral
CCGACGCUAACACCAGAUAGCCGGUGACCGAUACAAAAGCCUACUUCACACCUAAAAGUGACUUGAUGAUAGUCUCACUCACACCAUCAGCAUUAGGGAAGAGGUGGCCAGAACCUGGAAGUUCAUGGUAGUGAAUCCACGGAAGGUUUUGCGCGAUGUAUCGUUGUAGUGUGACAGGAACCAUAAUAUCUUCAUCUCCAUGCCAAAGAUGAACAGAACCUUCAUUGUUUGGAAAUGGAUUUUGAAGAUCCAAAGGUGUAUAUUCCCAUCUUCCAAAUCCAAUAUUUAAAUCACGGUGGAGGCUUUCAUAUUCACCUUGUUGUCUUAUCUGCUUCUGAAGCCACAUAAAAAGUUAUGAAUUUACAAUGAGAAUUGUAACAAGAAACACUCCAAUCGAAACAAGACAUAUUAUUAGAUAUCAUGAAAGAAAGCAUUUAGUCGACGAAAAAAACACUGCAGAAUAUUAAGCUCAAUUAAAUUGAGGCUAAUCUGAAAUUUGAAGGUACAAUUGAUCAACCACUUCUCAGAUCAUCAGAUUCUCAUAAAUCUAAUUUUAUUAUUAGUGGAGAAAACUCAAAAGGUUUCAUUCUUAGAAAAGUGCUUAUAUUUGUAGAAGCCAAAAGUUGUUUUGCAUUUGUCUGAUAACUGCAACAUCAAUUACCAAAAGGACUGAGUCAAUAAACUUCAGGUAUGGAUGCGGAGGGAAGAUUGAUAAAUACAAGGCACACUAUGAAUUGAUUCACUCGUUAUGCCAAGCUAACCAAGUGAAAGCAGCAUUGCUCUUAUAACUUUCUAAAUAAGUUGUUUAGGCUUUCUAAAUAAAAUUGUUAAACCUCUAAUUAAUUAAAAAUAUAGGAGGCCUAGGCAUAUGGGCUGAACCAUUGCUGGAGGAAGAAGGAGAAAAUGAUGUGCAGGAGGAGAAGUCCGAAGAGCAUGAACAAGAAACAGAGAUGAAAGCUUUGCAAUUAUCUUUGCGUAUAUCUGGCCUUACUUCUAUGAAAUCUAUCAAAAUGUGGGGAAUGGUGGGUGAUAAACAAGUUGCGGUCCCGAUAGGUUGUGGGGCAUCACACAACUUCAUAUCUUCCUUGCUGGUUAAAGAAGAGGAAUUGCAGGUGGAGAGUACUCUACCAUACACAGCAGAAGUGGGAGAUGAAAGAAAAAUUCGUUCAGAAGGAGUGUGCACUCAAUUAGAGUUGCUGGUUCAAGGACUGGAAAUUAAACAAGAUUUAAUUGUCUUUGAGUUAGGAGGUGUGGAUACGGUGUUGGGGAUGGAGUGGUUGUCUAGUUUGGAUGAUAUUAGAGCAAAAUCAAUUUUUAACAAUUCAACCAAUAAAAACUAUCAGCUAAAUCACUUUAUGUAUUGCUUCUAGAAAAACAACUCCAAAUUUGCGAUCAUCUAGAAGCUUGAUACUUACCACAUAAUUCUCUCUAUUUUUCAUCAACUUAGUUACAAGCUCUUUGUCUUGUUUCGAAAGGAUGUCUGGACCACCAGUAAUCACACUAAAAUUUGGGAACCAUCUUUGAGUGUUCCACCAGUAGGUUAACCAUGGCGUGUAGUGAGCAACACGAAGCGCCCAUUGGUCAUGCAAUUUCAUUUGGGAAUAGGCUUCGGCCGUUAAGUUUGCAGGAAGAUCAGGCCACCAGUAGUUGACGACUGGAGCUAAGAGCGCUGCACCUGCCAGCCUGUCAGUAUUGAAAAAGUUAGUGUCAAUAGAAGAAAACUACAAAUAAGGUAUGUUUGGAUAACCAAAUUAACUACACGCUUAUAAUAUAAGUGCUUAUGUAUAAACUAUUUCUAGAAGAAAGAAAAAAAAAAGUAAAAUUGUUUUGAUAUAAGCUAUCUUGGAGAGUUUAUGGAAAAUGCUGAAAACAACUCAUGCACAUGUCAUAAGUUGUUUCCUUAAACUCUCCCUAACAGUCUCACAAGUGUUUAUGCCAGUAGACCUAACAGUGUCACAAGUGUUUAUGCCAGUAGAUAAACUCUAGUAAGUCGAUUCAAACAAACACUAAAUCGUACCUGUGAGGUAUGUGCUUAAGGCAGUUCCAAACAAUUUGUCCACCCAUGGAAAAACCAAUGACAUAGAAUUUGGACCCCAAUCCCAAUUGAUCCGCAAGCUCUUCUAUAUCUAAGGCAAUGCUCUUUAACGUACGAUUUGGAUCGGGAUCACUUUCUCCAUAACCAGGUCUAUCAAAGGAUACAAUGUAGACCCCUAAUUCCUUAACAACAUCCUGGGCAAGCUCACAUUAAAUAUAUUAUUACAUACCAUGAAGAAAUAUGAGAAUGCACGUAUAUCAGACAGAAGAAAAUUAUAAUAUAGAAAAUUACGGGUGAUAGGGUGUUGGCAACCACAGCGUCAUGCCUGCAAGUGCUGAUACCAUGGACAAAGAUGAUUUUAUACUUUGCAACAUCUUUAGAAACACCAUGCUCUUUGUAUGCCAAAUGCCUUCCAUCUCUUAGUUUGAUUCUUGGUGCUGUUAUAGGUGGUCCAUCAGGAGAGCCGCAUACUUUGGGAGGAGGAGCUUGCGUAACUUGAUAAGCCCAUGCUAGAACCCCAAUAAACAACACUGCUAAUGUUGUUCUAAGAAUUCCUGAGUUUGUAAUUCCAAAUUAAAAGGAAGAUACAUACAAUUUAAAACAUAAAUUGUGGUUAGUGGUCCAUAAGUAAAUAUCAAAAUACAACUUAAUAAUUACAUUAUGCUGAACACAGGUAAAACUAGCUAUAAACCACAUAUUAAGGCCAACAGAGACUGAUUCAUGACUAAAAACAAUUGUUGGAUAUUUUGAAUGAAGAUUUAGUGUUGAAAGAUGUCCUAUAGUUAUCAGAGUAUUGUUUCUAUUACCUGUUUUACCUUCCAUGAGAAGAUUUUCCCAUUCAAAAGAUCCUUCUCCUUCACCCAGAGCCAAUGUUGGAACUAUCAUCCAACAUCAAUUCUUCCCCCACACUUCUUUCCAACCACCUGAACCUCUUCCCAGAUCUUCUCCCACUCCACUACUUUAUCCUAUCCAUCUUCCUAGCCAUCGAUUUCCGAAUACAAAUAGACACUCGCAUGGAACCCAUAAACCACCACCUCACCUUCAGGAUUACAUUUGUAAUUCCUCCUCCACCUCUAAUUGCACUCAUUCCAUUAAUGAAUACCUCUCUUGUCUCAAUCUUUCCUCUAGCCACAAGGAUUAUGCCCUUUCCCUCGAUGCUAUCCCUGAAUCCUCUAACUACUUUGAAGCUAGGAAGCACCCAUGUUGGGUUGAGGCUAAGAACAAAGAGUUAAAAGCCUUGGAAACUAAUUGUAAUUUGUCUAUUCUGGACAAACUUGUUGGUGUCAAUUGUAUCGGCUGUAAAUGGGUGUAUAAAGUCAAAAGGAAGACAGAAACUGAAGGGAUUGAUUUCUUUAAUACCUUUUCUCAGGUUGCUGAAAUGGCUACUGUGAGGAUGCUCAUUGCCUUUGCUAUCAUUAAAGGGCGGCACAUUAAACAAUGAAACAUGGAAAAUGCUUUCCUUGAUUGUGAGUUAAAGGAGGAUGGUAUGCCCCAAGUUUGAUGAACUCUUCCCCUCAUAGGGUUUGCAAGUUGCUUAAAUCAUUGUAUAGUCUAAUACAAGCGAGUAGAGAAUGGUAUAAACGCUUGUCCACCUUACAUUUGAGCUUAGCAUUCAAUAAAGCUCAUUAUGACCACUCGAUGCUCACCAACAUCAAAACUAUAGAACCCUCCUCCUUUAUGUGGACAACAUUGUCCAGGUUGAGGAUCAUCUUUCCGAGCUCUCCCAGAUCAAGAGUAUCAUUGACAACAACUUUGGCAUAAAAUAUUUUGGUAUCUGAAAAAAAUUUCUGGGCCUUGACGCUACUCACUCACCUAAAGGCAUUUCCCUUUGCCAAAUAUAACACUGUCUCAAUUUGCUUUCUGUCUUAGGCGUACUUGGCAGCAAACUGGUUUCAACUGCUACGGAACCUAGUUUUCAUUUGCACUACGAUGAUGGGACCCUUUUCAAUGACAUUGAUAUCGCAUUUACUUAACGACCACUGGGCCUGAUAUCACACACACUUUCUGUUCAGUUAUUCUCCCAAUUUCUAUCCAAGGCUAGUGUCUGUCAUUUCAAGGCUGCUGAAAGAGCACAUCACUACUAGAAAGGUUUACUGGUUCAGGGGAUUUUCUUCGGUGGGAAUUCUUCUCUAGAUCUUCACGGUUAUAGUAAUUCCAAUUGGGUAGGUUGUUCCGACUCACACCACACUAAAAAUAUUGCUACCUCUUUCCUAGGGGAUUCCUUGAUUACAUAUCAUUCUACAAAGCAGUCUAUUAUUGCUCGCUCAAGCUCUAAAUCUCAAUACCGUGCAAUAGCUUCAGUCAGUUACUCGCUUACUGACUUACAUAUUUCUUGUGUAAAGUUGUCCCUCUUAAUCUUAUAUAGUGAUAACAAAAGCGCCUUCCACAAUACUGCAAAACCAAGCAUCUUGAGAUUGAUUUCCGUGCGGCUAGAAUAUGAAUUAUGAAACUAUCCAUUGAAUUCACGAAGCUGCUAAUUUUGUCUCUUGCAAACCAAAUAUCCGAUCUUCACCAAAACACUUCUUCCUCGGCAUUUGUUCCAUCUCAUUUACAAGCUUCGAUUGAUAAACAUUUAUCAAUCUUCAACUUGUGGGGGUAUUACACAGUUAGCUAAUUAGUUAGUUAAAUUCCUAACUAACUGAACUAGUACAGUUAGAUUCCAGCAUGUAUAUAAACUUCAUUAUGUUGAAUUGAAUCAAUAUAUAUAUCAAAACAAAACCAUCUUCAUCAUUCUAUAUUCAUUCUAAUUUUCUUGUAACCUGAAUUAUAAAGCUGAAGAACAACACGACCCAUUAAACUUUGAAUGGUAAAAAUAAAAACUUUGAUGAAGAAAAGAGAAAAGAGAGUGAAAGAGCCAAGACCCACCUGAAGGAAGCUGAAAAGAAGUAGAUUUUUUGGCCCUUCUGGUGUGAGAACGAGCUGAUGCUGCAGAAAUUUUUCUGUUAACUCCGGUGGCCAUUGUUGUGAGAGAGGAGAAGAAUAACAGAAAAAAAUGAAACUACAGUUAAAAGAUUUUCUUCGAAAAAAAACAAAAAUGUUGAAAGAUUUAGACCCAUUUAUUAAGAUUUUGACAUCGAAUAAUUUUGAUCGUGGUAAAAAAUAUUAUUUUUUAAAUAAAUAAUUUAGUUUGUUUGAAUAUAUUUAUAUAAAAGAAAUUUUUGUCAAAAAGUAGUUCAAUCUUUUGACAUUUAAUUUUCUCUCUCUUUUAAAUUUUUUUUUUCUUUGAGAAAAUGUUUUUAAUAGCUUCUCAUUUGAAGUUCUUUUUAGAUUUCUUUUUUAAAUUGUAAUAAAUGCAUACAAUACUCUUAAAAGUGAUUAUUUUGAUUAAAAAAGUGAUUCUUUUUUUAAAAAACUAUAAAAAAAAAAAGCGGGCUCUUAUUUAUUUAUGUGAGAAUUAAAACAGAGACAGAAGAGCCGAUCGAUCUUCUUCUUUGUUUUUUUCUUCAAUUUUUGUUAUUAUUAUUAUUAUAUGAAUAUCUUGGGUCUUCAAUUUUGUAGGAUUACCGAUUAAGCGGAAAAAGAUGUUUUAUCAUCUCAUCUAAAUGAUAUUAGGUUUUUUUUUCUUCCAAUUGACAGUUCUUUAUUUUAUUUUUCAUGAAUAUUGACAAUUGUUUCUUUAUUUUAUUUGAAUCAAACAUAAACUAAUUAUAAUUAAAUUUUGAUACAAUAGUAAAAGUAAAAAAUAACAGCAAUAAAUAUAUUGUUUCAUCCGAAACUUCAAUCUAAGUUUUAUGGAGGUUGACAAUGAUCUUCAUUAAAAAAAAAAAAUAACACACCAAGACAUACGUGUCAGUGUCCUAUUACACCCUAGUUUAUUUAUCAUUGACCAACCUUUGUGUGUUUUUCCUUUAAUUUGAUAUUUUAUUUAAUUUUUAUUAUUUUCCUUUUUUAUCAAUAAAAUAGCUGAAUUUUCUAUAUAAAUAAGGUAGUAACUUUUUAUGUAACCAUGUUUAUUUCAACUUUAACUUUUAGUUAAAUAAUUGUAUGUAUAAUUUUGCUCUUUAAGUUGGCAAUUUGUCUUCUUGGUGGCGCAUUUGCAGCUUUGGAUAUGGAGAAACAAAUUGCAACUACGAGCAAUGAGUCGUCCAAUGUAAUUCUUAGGAUGGUCAAGGAGAUCGAGCACUAUGAGCAUACUCUUUUGACGGGAAGGCCGAGGCAGCAGGAGACCAUUUACAUCAGCUUGAAGCAUCCUCACGGGAAAAGGCGAGGAUAAUAUCUAAUUGCUGACGAUGACUAUAUACAUCUCAAAAACAACAUCCCAACUUCUGUAAAUUUUAAAACAAAAGAACAACAUACAUAUUUAACUAUCAAGAAAUAACUAGAUUCAUCCUACAUUCAAGUUGCUCAAAGUUUAUCAUAUGUGUUGUGUGUGAUCUUCAGUUUGAAUUCUCCGAAACGGAGAUAAUAAAUGCCCAAGCUGGCUGGAUAGCCGGUGAUCAAUACAGAAGCCUACUUCACACCUAAAAGUAACUUAAUGAUAGUCUCACUCACACCAUCGGCAUGAGGGAAAAGGUGGCCAGAACCUGAAAGUUCAUGGUAGUGAACCCACGGAAGGUUUUGUGCGAUGUAUCGUUGUAGUGUGACAGGAACCAUAAUAUCUUCAUCUCCUUGCCAAAGAUGAACAGAACCUUCAUUGUUUGGAAAUGGAUUUUGAAGAUCCAAAGGAGUAUAUUCCCAUUUUCCAAAUCCAAUAUUUAUG